RNAcentral lists this ribosomal RNA (253 nucleotides) under uncultured bacterium. RNAcentral describes it as "partial 16S ribosomal RNA". It matches the Rfam family "Bacterial small subunit ribosomal RNA", at positions 524 to 776 of the family's 1533-position model. The record is from RNAcentral.
UACGGAGGGUGCGAGCGUUGUUCGGAAUCACUGGGCGUAAAGCGCGUGUAGGCGGCUUCCUAAGUCUGAUGUGAAAGCCCGGGGCUUACCCCCGGAAGUGCAUUGGAAACUGAGAGGCUUGAGUACCGGAGAGGAAGGUGGAAUUCCUGGUGUAGCGGUGAAAUGCGUAGAUAUCAGGAAGAACACCGGUGGCGAAGGCGGCCUUCUGGACGGAUACUGACGCUGAGACGCGAAAGCGUGGGGAGCAAACAGG